This 1616-nucleotide ribosomal RNA is filed under the name Escherichia coli. RNAcentral's name for it is "partial 23S ribosomal RNA". It matches the Rfam family "Bacterial large subunit ribosomal RNA", at positions 692 to 2289 of the family's 2925-position model. Lineage: Bacteria; Pseudomonadati; Pseudomonadota; Gammaproteobacteria; Enterobacterales; Enterobacteriaceae. The record is from RNAcentral.
GCGUUAAGUUGCAGGGUAUAGACCCGAAACCCGGUGAUCUAGCCAUGGGCAGGUUGAAGGUUGGGUAACACUAACUGGAGGACCGAACCGACUAAUGUUGAAAAAUUAGCGGAUGACUUGUGGCUGGGGGUGAAAGGCCAAUCAAACCGGGAGAUAGCUGGUUCUCCCCGAAAGCUAUUUAGGUAGCGCCUCGUGAAUUCAUCUCCGGGGGUAGAGCACUGUUUCGGCAAGGGGGUCAUCCCGACUUACCAACCCGAUGCAAACUGCGAAUACCGGAGAAUGUUAUCACGGGAGACACACGGCGGGUGCUAACGUCCGUCGUGAAGAGGGAAACAACCCAGACCGCCAGCUAAGGUCCCAAAGUCAUGGUUAAGUGGGAAACGAUGUGGGAAGGCCCAGACAGCCAGGAUGUUGGCUUAGAAGCAGCCAUCAUUUAAAGAAAGCGUAAUAGCUCACUGGUCGAGUCGGCCUGCGCGGAAGAUGUAACGGGGCUAAACCAUGCACCGAAGCUGCGGCAGCGACACUAUGUGUUGUUGGGUAGGGGAGCGUUCUGUAAGCCUGUGAAGGUGGCCUGUGAGGGUUGCUGGAGGUAUCAGAAGUGCGAAUGCUGACAUAAGUAACGAUAAAGCGGGUGAAAAGCCCGCUCGCCGGAAGACCAAGGGUUCCUGUCCAACGUUAAUCGGGGCAGGGUGAGUCGACCCCUAAGGCGAGGCCGAAAGGCGUAGUCGAUGGGAAACAGGUUAAUAUUCCUGUACUUGGUGUUACUGCGAAGGGGGGACGGAGAAGGCUAUGUUGGCCGGGCGACGGUUGUCCCGGUUUAAGCGUGUAGGCUGGUUUUCCAGGCAAAUCCGGAAAACCAAGGCUGAGGCGUGAUGACGAGGCACUACGGUGCUGAAGCGACAAAUGCCCUGCUUCCAGGAAAAGCCUCUAAGCAUCAGGUAACAUCAAAUCGUACCCCAAACCGACACAGGUGGUCAGGUAGAGAAUACCAAGGCGCUUGAGAGAACUCGGGUGAAGGAACUAGGCAAAAUGGUGCCGUAACUUCGGGAGAAGGCACGCUGAUAUGUAGGUGAAGCGACUUGCUCGUGGAGCUGAAAUCAGUCGAAGAUACCAGCUGGCUGCAACUGUUUAUUAAAAACACAGCACUGUGCAAACACGAAAGUGGACGUAUACGGUGUGACGCCUGCCCGGUGCCGGAAGGUUAAUUGAUGGGGUUAGCGGUAACGCGAAGCUCUUGAUCGAAGCCCCGGUAAACGGCGGCCGUAACUAUAACGGUCCUAAGGUAGCGAAAUUCCUUGUCGGGUAAGUUCCGACCUGCACGAAUGGCGUAAUGAUGGCCAGGCUGUCUCCACCCGAGACUCAGUGAAAUUGAACUCGCUGUGAAGAUGCAGUGUACCCGCGGCAAGACGGAAAGACCCCGUGAACCUUUACUAUAGCUUGACACUGAACAUUGAGCCUUGAUGUGUAGGAUAGGUGGGAGGCUUUGAAGUGUGGACGCCAGUCUGCAUGGAGCCGACCUUGAAAUACCACCCUUUAAUGUUUGAUGUUCUAACGUUGGCCCGUAAUCCGGGUUGCGGACAGUGUCUGGUGGGUAGUUUGACUGGGGCGGUCUCCUC